UCCAGACUCCUACGGGAGGCAGCAGUGGGGGAUAUUGCACAAUGGGGGGAACCCUGAUGCAGCGACGCCGCGUGAGUGAAGAAGUAAUUCGUUAUGUAAAGCUCUAUCAGCAGGGAAGAAUAAAUGACGGUACCUGAGUAAGAAGCCCCGGCUAACUAUGUGCCAGCAGCCGCGGUAAUACGUAGGGGGCAAGCGUUAUCCGGAUUUACUGGGUGUAAAGGGGGCGCAGACGGCAAUGCAAGCCAGGAGUGAAAGCCCGGGGCCCAACCCCGGGACUGCUCUUGGAACUGCAUGGCUGGAGUACAGGAGGGGCAGGCGGAAUUCCUAGUGUAGCGGUGAAAUGCGUAGAUAUUAGGAGGAACACCGGUGGCGAAGGCGGCCUGCUGGACUGUGACUGACGUUGAGGCCCGAAGGCGUGGGGAGCAAACAGGAUUAGAUACCCUAGUA
RNAcentral lists this ribosomal RNA (447 nucleotides) under uncultured bacterium. Its description in RNAcentral is "partial 16S ribosomal RNA". It matches the Rfam family "Bacterial small subunit ribosomal RNA", at positions 330 to 792 of the family's 1533-position model. The record is from RNAcentral.